This is a long non-coding RNA of Dermacentor silvarum, 722 nucleotides long. RefSeq lists it as uncharacterized. The transcript has 2 exons. The record is from RefSeq and is a predicted model, not a curated record. NCBI's taxonomy places the organism in Eukaryota, Metazoa, Arthropoda, Arachnida, Ixodida, Ixodidae.
GGAUAGCACUUUUUCUGGUAAGUGAAAUACAUUGCACUUUGUUUCUCGUCAACAACGUCCAAAUUUUUUUAGGUGUUAACCGCGACAAUUAUUGAUGGUUGGGCUAUUUCAUACAUGAGUGAAAUUUUGCUACAACAGCUUACGUUGCACCUUGCUUCCCUAAUGCGCAAAUGUGUUCAAGCCAGUAUGUGAUCAGUUCUGUAUUCUAGAAGGUUUUCUGUGUGAUUUAGUUUCUUUACAGGAAUUUACGGUACAGCAUCAGCAAGGAGUCUAAUUUCAAAUCUUCGUGUGUGAUGCAGGAUGUAUGCUUUGCUGCUUGGAUUGAUAAAACAUGGACCGAGGCUUCCAUACAAGAACGAACUUCAAUUUGGCUCUACCACCAUCAGCACUUGGCUGGCACCUGCCGAAUGAAUUAUCGUAGGUUUUGCUUGCCCGUGUCUACAAGAACCUUCACAUGUGUCCUGUGACAGAAAUGAUUUGUGGGCAGCCAGUGCUCUCCUACAAAGACAAGCCUGCCCUGGCUGCGGCAGCAAUGAUCUUCAAGAUCUAUGCAUGGUCACCUUUGCUGCUAUUUGUCACUCUUGUUAAUGACACAUUCUGCAUCUUUUCUCAUUUGUUAGGUAAUAAAGUUUGACUGUGUCACAUGGUGUAAAGUAGAUGUCUUGCCACAUUUUAGCUUGCAAUCAUGUUCUAUGCACUGCACUGCAUGAAAAGCUCAUCGU